Non-coding RNA from Ciona savignyi (Pacific transparent sea squirt), 72 nucleotides. Lineage: Eukaryota; Metazoa; Chordata; Ascidiacea; Phlebobranchia; Cionidae. The record is from Rfam.
GGCCCGUUGGUCUAAGGGCAUGAUUCUCGCUUUGGGUGCGAGAGGUCCCGGGUUCAAAUCCCGGACGGGCCC